Molecule: long non-coding RNA, 233 nt
Filed under: Anas platyrhynchos platyrhynchos (common mallard)
Lineage: Eukaryota; Metazoa; Chordata; Aves; Anseriformes; Anatidae
Description: lncRNA (ENSAPLG00000028610.1)
Source: RNAcentral
UGAGAAUUGUUUGUAUAAUGCUUUUGUUCUGUAUGCAAACACUACUAUUAGGCUUAUUACAUUUUUUCUGCGUGUACCAAGUAAAGUUCCUGGACAUCUUCUUAAAUCCUCCCUGGUCAUUGGCUGCAUCCAGGACCCUUUCAGGAGCCAUCAUGAGGGAGGAUGAGAAACAAACAAAAGAACAGCUGGACAUAGAGCUUCAGCUGCACCCUGAUAGAGGAAAAGCAGAUUGA